UUUCCGUAGGUGAACCUGCGGAAGGAUCAUUAUUGUAUAACCGAGGUGCGAGGGCUGUCGCUGACCCGAAAGGUCGUGCACGCCCGAGUGCCCUCACACACAUCCAUCUCACCCCUAUGUGCACCACCGCGCGGGUCCCCCUUUGGCUUGUUCGGAGGGGGGCUUACGUUUUCACACAAACUUUGUAUGCAGUGUAGAAUGUAUUUUUUGUUCUUGCGAUCACGCAAUCAAUACAACUUUCAACAACGGAUCUCUUGGCUCUC
Molecule: unclassified non-coding RNA, 263 nt
Filed under: plant metagenome
Description: partial contains small subunit ribosomal RNA, internal transcribed spacer 1, and 5.8S ribosomal RNA
Source: RNAcentral